Marmota flaviventris (yellow-bellied marmot) is the source of this 349-nucleotide non-coding RNA. The record is from RefSeq and is a predicted model, not a curated record. Lineage: Eukaryota; Metazoa; Chordata; Mammalia; Rodentia; Sciuridae.
AGAGAGUUCAAAGCCAGACUCAGCAAAAAGCAAGGCGACAGGGACCAAAACGGUUGGAUUGAGAAGUGCACCUACCUCUGCAGACCUCAACAUGGUCCCUUCCCGUCAGACAGAUUUCUGUAGCAUUUGCCUCCGCAUGUUAUAUUUGGAAUUGUUGGCCGGCUUUCCUCUCUCUGGUGUUGGCAGCAAGAUCCAAAAUGAGGUUUUCGAAGAAUGAGAGUAAAAAGGUCUCUGCACAGGCAAAACUAAGCUCAGAUUGGAGUUUUGCAUAUUUAAUUUUCAGUGAGUCAUAACAAAGGUUUCACUCACAGACUCUAGAAUAAAAAUCUUUGUUGUUUGAAUUUCUUAA